RNAcentral lists this ribosomal RNA (709 nucleotides) under uncultured bacterium. RNAcentral describes it as "bacterial SSU rRNA". It matches the Rfam family "Bacterial small subunit ribosomal RNA", at positions 55 to 760 of the family's 1533-position model. The record is from RNAcentral.
AUGCAGUCGAACGGCAGCGCGGGGCAACCUGGCGGCGAGUGGCGAACGGGUGAGUAAUAUAUCGGAACGUGCCCUGGAGUGGGGGAUAACGCAGCGAAAGUUGCGCUAAUACCGCAUACGAUCUAAGGAUGAAAGCGGGGGAUUCGCAAGAACCUCGUGCUCCUGGAGCGGCCGAUAUCUGAUUAGCUAGUUGGUGGGGUAAAGGCCUACCAAGGCAUCGAUCAGUAGCUGGUCUGAGAGGACGACCAGCCACACUGGAACUGAGACACGGUCCAGACUCCUACGGGAGGCAGCAGUGGGGAAUUUUGGACAAUGGGCGAAAGCCUGAUCCAGCAAUGCCGCGUGAGUGAAGAAGGCCUUCGGGUUGUAAAGCUCUUUUGUCAGGGAAGAAACGGUGCGGGCUAAUAUCCUGCACUAAUGACGGUACCUGAAGAAUAAGCACCGGCUAACUACGUGCCAGCAGCCGCGGUAAUACGUAGGGUGCAAGCGUUAAUCGGAAUUACUGGGCGUAAAGCGUGCGCAGGCGGUUUUGUAAGUCUGUCGUGAAAUCCCCGGGCUCAACCUGGGAAUUGCGAUGGAGACUGCAAGGCUAGAAUCUGGCAGAGGGGGGUAGAAUUCCACGUGUAGCAGUGAAAUGCGUAGAGAUGUGGAGGAACACCGAUGGCGAAGGCAGCCCCCUGGGUCAAGAUUGACGCUCAUGCACGAAAGC